This 1734-nucleotide ribosomal RNA is filed under the name human metagenome. RNAcentral's name for it is "bacterial LSU rRNA". It matches the Rfam family "Bacterial large subunit ribosomal RNA", at positions 269 to 1980 of the family's 2925-position model. The record is from RNAcentral.
CUAAACCUUAAAUAUGUCAAGGAUACAGCCGUUGUAUUUAAGGGGUUGAGGGACAGAGUAGUGAAGAACUGUAAGAUAUUCAAUAUAGUGUAUUGAUGAAUUGGAAUUGUCUGGAAAGGCGAACCGUAGAAGGUGAAAGUCCUGUACAAGUAAAUCCUUACACAUAUAACUCUGCUCCCAAGUAACAUGGAACACGAGGAAUUCUGUGUGAAUCUGUGAGGACCAUAUCUCAUAAGGCUAAAUACUCUUACUAACCGAUAGCGCAUAGUACCGUGAGGGAAAGGUGAAAAGAACCCCUGGAGGGGAGUGAAAUAGAACCUGAAAUUGUGUGCUUACAAGCGGUCAGAGCCAGCAAUGGUGAUGGCGUGCCUUUUGGAGAAUGAUCCUGCGAGUUACGUUAAACGGCGAGGUUAAGUAUAACGGAGCCGAAGGGAAACCAAGUCUUAAUAGGGCGAUUUAGUCGUUUGGCGUAGACGCGAAACCUGGUGAUCUAAACCUGUCCAGGAUGAAGCUGUGGUAAGACACAGUGGAGGUCCUAACCCACCGCCGUUGAAAAGUUGGGGGAUGAGGUAGGUUUAGGGGUGAAAAGCCAAUCGAACCAGGAGAUAGCUCGUUCUCUCCGAAAUGCAUCUAGGUGCAGCCUUGAGUGUUCAAUUAUGGGGGUAGAGCACUGAAUGAUCUAGGGGGCAUAUUGCUUACUGAAAUCAAUCAAACUCCGAAUACCAUAAUUUAUAGCUCAGGAGUGAGACUAUGGGAGUUAACUUCCAUUGUCAAAAGGGAAACAACCCAGACCACCAGCUAAGGUCCCUAAUUAUAACUAAGUGGGAAAGGAGGUGGAGAUUCACAAACAACUAGGAGGUUGGCUUAGAAGCAGCCAUACCUUUAAAGAGUGCGUAAUAGCUCACUAGUCGAGAGUCUCUGCGCCGACAAUGUAACGGGGCUAAGUUAUAAACCGAAGCUGUGGAAUCCUUUUGGAUUGGUAGGAGAGCGUUCUGUAGGCCGUUGAAGAAGAAGGGUAACCGACUUUGGAGGUAUCAGAAGUGAGAAUGCAGGAAUAAGUAGCGAGAAAGGGGGCGAGAAUCCCCCUCGCCGGAAGACCAAGGUUUUCAGGGUAAAGCUUGUCUUCCCUGAGUAAGCCGGGACCUAAGCCCAGGCUAUAAUGCGUAGGCGAAUGGAAAACAGAUUAAUAUUUCUGUGCCAGUCAUUUAUUGUGAUGGAGGGACGCAGAAGGGUAUGUGCGCGGACGAUCGGUUGUGUCCGUAGAAGUAUGUAGGGUGACUUAGUAGGUAAAUCCAUUAAGUUAUAUCUGAGGUAUGAUAUACAGUCGUAAGAUGAAUGUGCAAAUCCCACGCUGCCAAGAAAAGCUUCUAACGUUAAUAUUUGACUGCCCGUACUGUAAACCGACACAGGUGGUCAGGAUGAGAAAUCUAAGGCGGACAGGCUAACUCUCGUUAAGGAACUCUGCAAAAUAACCUCGUAACUUCGGGAGAAGAGGAGCCCUUGUGUGUUAGUAUCCAUGCGAUACAAAGCGCUCGAGGGUCGCAGUGAAGAGGCUCAAGCAACUGUUUAACAAAAACACAGGUCUAUGCUAAGCUGGAAGGCGAUGUAUAUGGGCUGACACCUGCCCAGUGCUGGAAGGUUAAGAGGAGGAGUGAGAGCUCCGAAUUGAAGCCCCAGUGAACGGCGGCCGUAACUAUAACGGUCCUAAGGUAGCGAAAUUCCUUGUCGGGUAAG